RNAcentral lists this ribosomal RNA (935 nucleotides) under Lactococcus garvieae. RNAcentral describes it as "bacterial SSU rRNA". It matches the Rfam family "Bacterial small subunit ribosomal RNA", at positions 59 to 972 of the family's 1533-position model. Lineage: Bacteria; Bacillati; Bacillota; Bacilli; Lactobacillales; Streptococcaceae. The record is from RNAcentral.
GAGUCGUAACUCGGUAGCACGUAANGAUGCUUGCUAUUUUUAUGAAGAGCGGCGAACGGGUGAGUAACGCGUGGGAAAUCUGCCGAGUAGCGGGGGACAACGUUUGGAAACGAACGCUAAUACCGCAUAACAAUGAGAAUCGCAUGAUUCUUAUUUGAAAGAAGCAAUUGCUUCACUACUUGAUGAUCCCGCGUUGUAUUAGCUAGUUGGUAGUGUAAAGGACUACCAAGGCGAUGAUACAUAGCCGACCUGAGAGGGUGAUCGGCCACACUGGGACUGAUACACGGCCCAGACUCCUACGGGAGGCAGCAGUAGGGAAUCUUCGGCAAUGGGGGCAACCCUGACCGAGCAACGCCGCGUGAGUGAAGAAGGUUUUCGGAUCGUAAAACUCUGUUGUUAGAGAAGAACGUUAAGUAGAGUGGAAAAUUACUUAAGUGACGGUAUCUAACCAGAAAGGGACGGCUAACUACGUGCCAGCAGCCGCGGUAAUACGUAGGUCCCAAGCGUUGUCCGGAUUUAUUGGGCGUAAAGCGAGCGCAGGUGGUUUCUUAAGUCUGAUGUAAAAGGCAGUGGCUCAACCAUUGUGUGCAUUGGAAACUGGGAGACUUGAGUGCAGGAGAGGAGAGUGGAAUUCCAUGUGUAGCGGUGAAAUGCGUAGAUAUAUGGAGGAACACCGGAGGCGAAAGCGGCUCUCUGGCCUGUAACUGACACUGAGGCUCGAAAGCGUGGGGAGCAAACAGGAUUAUAUACCCUGGUAGUCCACGCCGUAAACGAUGAGUGCUAGCUGUAGGGAGCUAUAAGUUCUCUGUAGCGCAGCUAACGCAUUAAGCACUCCGCCUGGGGAGUACGACCGCAAGGUUGAAACUCAGAGGAAUUGACGGGGGCCGCACAUCGGUGCAGCAUGUGGUUUAUUACGAAGCAACGCGAACAUCCUU